GAGAUGAGCACAGUUAAAACCACAAAUGCAGCAACCUCCUUAUGAGAAAAGAUUAAAACUCUUCCAAAUACUUAGCUGUAGAAAUAGUGAGAGGGUUGAAGACUUUAAAAUAGAACAGCAUGGAACUUUAUGUGCAUGAACGUUUAAAUUUCGACAAGAAAUGUGAUUAACAACCAUUGAUGUGAAAAAGCAUGAGGAUAGAGUUUAGAUUUCCAUCCCACAACCAAAUUUGAUUUACACUUUACACUUCUUCUCGUUUACUUGGCUUAGAUGGCAGCAAUGCAAUUAUAUGGAUGCCAACUUCAGUACAAUCCAUACCUCCAUGGUACAACCACGAAGAAAAAGAAGAAGAAAAAGGCUCCGGCGACGAAGAAGAAGUAGACAAACAAGAAGAAGAAGAAAAAGAAGAAAUAGAAGUAGACGAAGAAGAAGAAGAAGAAGAGGCGCGAAAACCGUAAGUUGGGAACUGUCUCUUCCGGUUACAAUGGCAGAAAGUAAAACAAACAAUACAAAAAGGUUUGUUUGGAACAACUGCGGAGAAAAUGAACAACGCCAGACCCAAACACAAGCAACAAGUGACUGCGACGCGGAGAAAGCGGUGGAUCGUGAAAUGGGGCUCGACGCUGGACCAUGACUAUUGUCUUCCUCCUCCAGGUGCAGUUGAUGAGGCAUUAGAAGAAGUACAGGAGUUGGAGAAACUGGCACCAAGUCUUUCCCCCUCUGGACCCGUACCGGAUACUGGUGUGUGUCUGAUGAAGACUUCAGCCGCCUCGUGUCCACUCUGUAACAUCAGCCGCCUCGUGUCCACUCAGUAACAUCAGCCACCUCGUGUCCACUCUGUAUCAUCAGCCGCCUCGUGUCCACUCUGUAUCAUCAGCCGCCUCGUGUCCACUCAGUAACAUCAGCAGCCUCAGUCGGUACCAUCAGACGUCUCCUCUCCUCUCAUUUGAAGUCACUAACAUCAGAGACCUCCUGUACCCUCAUCAAAGACCUCCUCCCCACCUCCCAAAGAAGAAUCUGAACAUUAAGUCCUUCAGCUCCUUUUUUCGAGCAUCCUCCACUUUGAAUCAGAUCUUGGCUGUGCCUGGUCAUCUCUGCAGCCUGAGAUGGUGAAAUCACUCCUGGUAUUUGUCACCAGAUCGCACCAAGCUAAGCCCGUGACCAUCAGCUGACCAUGAACUUGCCAUCGGUUGGUCAUUUGACAAAACAGCACUUAACUUCAACCAGAAGAAAACCCAAAGAACCUCGACUGGACUUCCACUCUUCUUUUCAUUGCAUUGGUCUUGGGGCAGAAAGAGAUUUUUCACAGUGGACUCGCUCCCAGUAAAGUGAGGGUGACCCAUGCUAACCAAGCGUUGUUUUAUGGAUUGACCCUGGGUUCCUGCUUCAAUAACCCCUGACAUUUCGUGUGGCGCCUCCAGACUCUGCUUAUGCAGGAUUUCAUUCCAGUUACCAGGAACAAAAUGGUAUGGUGGAAAUUUUGGCAUGUACAUCCUUGGUCAGCAGAGCUAGACACUAAUAGGACAGUAGUGAUCUUUUCGGGACAUAUUUUGAUGACACCAUAGUCAAUAUAGACAUUUGAUCAAAAAUAUUUGCUCUUCAAUGGUUGUGGUUGAAUGGAAAUAAGGGAUCACAGUCAGGCAAAUGUUCUAAAACAUGUCCAUGUCUCAGUAUAUCUGUUGUCACUUUAUGUGAAGAUGUCCUUUCAGACCACUGUCUGAAAACUAAUAUCCAUCGUUUCUAAAAAUGAUUUAGAAUUUUGUUAAUUUUGUUAUUUUUGUACACUAUGUAAUGUUAAUGUACCCUGCUAGAAUGAAAUGGCAAGGAAUUGAAUAUGUACAGUUAAGCAGUUUAAGAAUUUUAAAACUUACUUGAAUCUUACAU
Molecule: long non-coding RNA, 1884 nt
Organism: Seriola aureovittata
Lineage: Eukaryota; Metazoa; Chordata; Actinopteri; Carangiformes; Carangidae
Exons: 5
Source: RefSeq, a predicted model, not a curated record